This 1354-nucleotide ribosomal RNA is filed under the name uncultured bacterium. RNAcentral describes it as "bacterial SSU rRNA". It matches the Rfam family "Bacterial small subunit ribosomal RNA", at positions 28 to 1381 of the family's 1533-position model. The record is from RNAcentral.
GACGAACGCUCUUUGGCGUGCUUAACACAUGCAAGUCGAACGGAAAGGCCCUGCUUUUGUGGGGUGCUCGAGUGCCCAACGGGUGAGUAACACGUGAUUAACCUGUCCUUGACUUUGGGAUAACUUCACGAAACUGGGGCUAAUACCGGAUAGGAGCUCCUGCUGCAUGGAGGGGGUUGAAAAGUUUCUGCGGUUGGGGACGGACUCGCCGCUUAUCACCUUGUUGGCGGGGUAGAGGCUUACCAAUGUUUUGACGGGUAGCCGGCCUGAGAGGGUGACCGGUCAUAUUGAUACUGAGAUACCGCCCAAACUCCUACAGGAGGCAGCAGUGGUGAAUAUUGUACAAUGGGUGUAAGCCCAAUGACACUACGCCGCGUGCGGAAUGACAGCCUUCGGGUUGUAAACCCCUUUCCCCUGUGACUAAAUCUUGAGUGAUCGGUAAUGGAUAAAGAAGCACCCGCCAAAUCCUUUGCUAUUCAACCAUCGUGAUACUAACGCUGCGAACGUUGUCUGAAUUUAUUGGUCGCAAACGGCUCGCUAGUGGUGGAUCACUUCUGAAGUGAAUUCCUGGUCGACUUAACGCAGUACAUGCUAUUAAAACCCGUUUGACUUAAGCAACGUACUGUAUAAUGGAAUACUUAGGGAAUCUAUGUAAUCCUUCUAUCUGACGAGGAUACCCAGGGGCGAAGGCGGUUCUCUGGGCCUUUCCUGACGCUGAGGAGCGAAAGCGUGGGGAGCGAACAGGCUUAGAUACCCUGGUAGUCCACGCUGUAAACGGUGGGUACUAGGUGUGGGGUCCAUUCCACGGGUUCCGUGCCGUAGCUAACGCUUUAAGUACCCCGCCUGGGGAGUACGGCCGCAAGGCUAAAACUCAAAGGAAUUGACGGGGCCCCGCACAAGCGGCGGAGCAUGCGGGUUAAUUCGAUGCAACGCGUAGAACCUUACCUGGGUUUGACAUGGAUCGGGAGUGCUCAGAGAUGGGUGUGCCUCUUUUGGGGUCGGUUCACAGGUGGUGCAUGGCUGUCGUCAGCUCGUGUCGUGAGAUGUUGGGUUAAGUCCCGCAACGAGCGCAACCCUUGUUCACUGUUGCCAGCACGUUAUGGUGGGGACUCAGUGGAGACCGCCGGGGUCAACUCGGAGGAAGGUGGGGAUGACGUCAAGUCAUCAUGCCCCUUAUGUCCAGGGCUUCACGCAUGCUACAAUGGCUGGUACAGAGAGUGGCGAGCCUGUGAGGGUGAGCGAAUCUCGGAAAGCCGGUCUCAGUUCGGAUUGGGGUCUGCAACUCGACCUCAUGAAGUCGGAGUCGCUAGUAAUCACAGAUCAGCAACGCUGCGGUGAAUACGUUCCCGGGGCC